RNAcentral lists this transfer RNA (72 nucleotides) under Camelus bactrianus (Bactrian camel). It matches the Rfam family "tRNA". Rfam says of the family: Transfer RNA (tRNA) molecules are approximately 80 nucleotides in length. Their secondary structure includes four short double-helical elements and three loops (D, anti-codon, and T loops). Further hydrogen bonds mediate the characteristic L-shaped molecular structure. tRNAs have two regions of fundamental functional importance: the anti-codon, which is responsible for specific mRNA codon recognition, and the 3' end, to which the tRNAs corresponding amino acid is attached (by aminoacyl-tRNA synthetases). tRNAs cope with the degeneracy of the genetic code in two manners: having more than one tRNA (with a specific anti-codon) for a particular amino acid; and 'wobble' base-pairing, i.e. permitting non-standard base-pairing at the 3rd anti-codon position. Lineage: Eukaryota; Metazoa; Chordata; Mammalia; Artiodactyla; Camelidae. The record is from Rfam by way of RNAcentral. RNAcentral also lists the same sequence under 2 other names.
AGGGGUAUAGCUCAGCAGUAGAGCGUGUGCUUAGCAUGCACGUGAUCUUGUAUUCAAUCCCCAGUUCCUCUA